RNAcentral lists this ribosomal RNA (431 nucleotides) under uncultured bacterium. RNAcentral's name for it is "partial 16S ribosomal RNA". It matches the Rfam family "Bacterial small subunit ribosomal RNA", at positions 29 to 507 of the family's 1533-position model. The record is from RNAcentral.
AACGAACGCUGGCGGCAGGCCUAACACAUGCAAGUCGAGCGCCCUUUCGGGGGAGCGGCGGACGGGUGAGUAGCGCGUGGGAAUAUGCCCUUCUCUACGGAAUAGCCUCGGGAAACUGAGAGUAAUACCGUAUACGCCCUGUGGGGGAAGGAUUUAUCGGGGAAGGAUUAGCCCGCGUUGGUUUAGGUAGUGGGUGGGGUAAUGGCCUACCAGGCCGACGAUCCAUAGCUGGUUUGUGAGGAUGAUCAGCCACACUGGGACUGAGACACGGCCCAGACUCCUACGGGAGGCAGCAGUGGGGAAUCUUAGACAAUGGGGGCAAUCCUGAUCUAGCCAUGCCGCGUGAGUGAUGAAGGCCUUAGGGUUGUAAAGCUCUUUCAGCUGGGAAGAUAAUGACGGUACCAGCAGAAGAAGCCCCGGCUAACUCCGUG